GAUGAACGCUGGCGGCAUGCCUAACACAUGCAAGUCGGACGGACAGUUGUGUUUCUAGUGCCGGACGGGUGAGUAACGCGUAAGAACCUGCCCCUGGGAGGGGCACAAUAACUGGAAACGGUUGCUAAUACCCCGCAGGCCGAGUAGCAAAAGGAGUAUUGCGCCCGAGGAGGGGCUUGCGUCUGAUUGACUAGUUGUCGAGGAAAUAGCGUACCAAGGCGCUGGUCAGUAGAUGGUACGAGAGGAUCAUCAGCCACACUGGGACUGAGCCACGGAGCAGAGUCCUACGGGAGACAGCAGAGAGGAAGUUUCCGCAAUGGGGCGAAGCCUAACAGGGCCAUGGCGCGGGGAAGUAGAGGGACCAGGGGUCGAGAAAUUCUUUUCUCGGAGAAGAAGCAAUGACGGUAUCUGAGGAAUAAGCAUCGGCUAACUCUGUG
Molecule: ribosomal RNA, 437 nt
Filed under: uncultured bacterium
Lineage: Bacteria
Description: partial 16S ribosomal RNA
Rfam family: Bacterial small subunit ribosomal RNA
Source: RNAcentral